Molecule: transfer RNA, 72 nt
Filed under: Bacteroidales bacterium
Lineage: Bacteria; Pseudomonadati; Bacteroidota; Bacteroidia; Bacteroidales
Description: tRNA-Thr
Rfam family: tRNA
About the family: Transfer RNA (tRNA) molecules are approximately 80 nucleotides in length. Their secondary structure includes four short double-helical elements and three loops (D, anti-codon, and T loops).
Source: RNAcentral
GCCGAAGUAGCUCAGAGGUAGAGCGCUUCCUUGGUAAGGAAGGGGUCACGAGUUCAAUUCUCGUCUUCGGCU